CAGUCGCCGCGGUAAUACGUAGGGUGCGAGCGUUAAUCGGAAUUACUGGGCGUAAAGCGUGCGCAGGCGGUGAUGUAAGACAGAUGUGAAAUCCCCGGGCUCAACCUGGGAACUGCAUUAGUGACUGCAUCGCUGGAGUGCGGCAGAGGGGGAUGGAAUUCCGCGUGUAGCAGUGAAGUGCGUAGAUAUGCGGAGGAACACCGAUGGCGAAGGCAAUCCCCUGGGCCUGCACUGACGCUCAUGCACGAAAGCGUGGGGAGCAAACAGGAUUAGAUACCCGGGUAGUCCCUGUCUCUUAUAC
RNAcentral lists this ribosomal RNA (301 nucleotides) under uncultured bacterium. RNAcentral describes it as "partial 16S ribosomal RNA". It matches the Rfam family "Bacterial small subunit ribosomal RNA", at positions 509 to 807 of the family's 1533-position model. The record is from RNAcentral.